UACGUAGGGUGCGAGCGUUGUCCGGAAUUAUUGGGCGUAAAGGGCUCGUAGGCGGUUUGUCGCGUCGGGAGUGAAAACCUUGGGCUUAACUCAGGGCUUGCUUUCGAUACGGGCAGACUAGAGGUAUGCAGGGGAGAACGGAAUUCCUGGUGUAGCGGUGAAAUGCGUAGAUAUCGUUUGGAACGCCAAAGGUGAAAACAGACAGCUGGGAGUGUGCUGACGCUGAGACACGAAAGCCAGGGGAGCGAACGGG
Molecule: ribosomal RNA, 253 nt
Filed under: uncultured bacterium
Lineage: Bacteria
Description: partial 16S ribosomal RNA
Rfam family: Bacterial small subunit ribosomal RNA
Source: RNAcentral